This 1075-nucleotide ribosomal RNA is filed under the name uncultured Eubacteriales bacterium. Its description in RNAcentral is "bacterial SSU rRNA". It matches the Rfam family "Bacterial small subunit ribosomal RNA", at positions 8 to 1088 of the family's 1533-position model. The record is from RNAcentral. RNAcentral also lists the same sequence under 1 other name. Lineage: Bacteria; Bacillati; Bacillota; Clostridia; Eubacteriales.
AGAGUUUGAUCCUGGCUCAGGAUAAACGCUGGCGGCGUGCGUAACACAUGCAAGUCGAACGAGAAUGUACUGACAGAUCCUUAGGGUGAAGAUAGUACAGGACAGUGGCGGAUGGGUGAGUAACGCGUAAGAAACCUGCCUUUCACACCGGGAUAGCAGCUGGAAACGGCUAUUAAUACCGGAUGACACUUUUUCCCCGCAUGAGGAAGAGGUUAAAGAAUUUCGGUGAAAGAUGGUCUUGCGUCUGAUUAGCUAGUUGGUGGGGUAACGGCCUACCAAGGCGACGAUCAGUAGCCGGCCUGAGAGGGUGAACGGCCACAUUGGGACUGAGACACGGCCCAAACUCCUACGGGAGGCAGCAGUGGGGAAUUUUGCACAAUGGAGGAAACUCUGAUGCAGCGACGCCGCGUGAACGAAGAAGGUCUUCGGAUUGUAAAGUUCUGUCCUGGGUGAAGAUAAUGACGGUAACUCAGGAGGAAGCCCCGGCUAACUACGUGCCAGCAGCCGCGGUAAUACGUAGGGGGCGAGCGUUGUUCGGAAUUAUUGGGCGUAAAGGGUACGUAGGCGGUUUGUUAAGUUUGGCGUUAAAUCACGGGGCUCAACCCCGUUCAGCGUUGAAAACUGGCAAACUUGAGUAGUAGAGGGGACAGUGGAAUUCCUAGUGUAGCGGUGAAAUGCGUAGAGAUUAGGAAGAAUACCGGUGGCGAAGGCGACUGUCUGGAUACAUACUGACGCUCAGGUACGAAAGCGUGGGGAGCAAACAGGAUUAGAUACCCUGGUAGUCCACGCCCUAAACGAUGAGUGCUAGGUGUCGGGUGUCAAAGCCCGGUGCCGCCGUUAACACAUUAAGCACUCCGCCUGGGGAGUACGCACGCAAGUGUGAAACUCAAAGGAAUUGACGGGGACCCGCACAAGCAGCGGAGCAUGUGGUUUAAUUCGAAGCAACGCGAAGAACCUUACCAGGGCUUGACAUACUAAGGACGUACUUAGAGAUAAGUAUUCUUCUUCGGAAGCCUCAAUACAGGUGGUGCAUGGUUGUCGUCAGCUCGUGUCGUGAGAUGUUGGGUUAAGUCCC